AGAGUUUGAUUCUGGCUCAGGAUGAACGCUAGCGACAGGCUUAACACAUGCAAGUCGAGGGGCAGCGGGGGAGGAAGCUUGCUUUCUCCCGCCGGCGACCGGCGCACGGGUGAGUAACACGUAUGUAACCUGCCCUCUGCCGGGGGAUAAGCGGAAGAAAUUCCGUCUAAUACCGCAUAACACACAUCCGGGGCAUCCCGGGGGUGUCAAAGGAGCAAUCCGGCAGAGGAUGGACAUGCGGCGCAUUAGCCAGUCGGCGGGGUAACGGCCCACCGAGGCGACGAUGCGUAGGGGUUCUGAGAGGAAGGUCCCCCACACUGGUACUGAGACACGGACCAGACUCCUACGGGAGGCAGCAGUGAGGAAUAUUGGUCAAUGGGCGGAAGCCUGAACCAGCCAAGUCGCGUGAGGGAAGACGGUCCUAUGGAUUGUAAACCUCUUUUGCAGGGGAGCAAGGCACGGUACGUGUACCGUGAAGGAGAGUACCCUGAGAAAAAGCAUCGGCUAACUCCGUGCCAGCAGCCGCGGUAAUACGGAGGAUGCGAGCGUUAUCCGGAUUUAUUGGGUUUAAAGGGUGCGCAGGCGGACUGUUAAGUCAGCGGUAAAAUGUCGGUGCUCAACACCGGCCGGCCGUUGAAACUGGCAGCCUUGAGUGAGCGAGAAGUA
RNAcentral lists this ribosomal RNA (666 nucleotides) under uncultured bacterium. RNAcentral's name for it is "bacterial SSU rRNA". It matches the Rfam family "Bacterial small subunit ribosomal RNA", at positions 8 to 659 of the family's 1533-position model. The record is from RNAcentral.